CGACCUGCCCAUGAGAGAGGGAUAACCCAGCGAAAGUUGGACUAAUACCUUAUAAUACUAUUUAAUCGCAUGAUUUUAUAGUCAAAGGGUGCCAAUUUAUUGGUAUUGCUUAUGGAUGGGCCUGCGUUCCAUUAGUUAGUUGGUAAGGCAACGGCUUACCAAGGCGACGAUGGAUAGCUGGUUUGAGAGAGUGAUCAGCCACACUGGGACUGAGAUACGGCCCAG
This 225-nucleotide ribosomal RNA is filed under the name uncultured bacterium. Its description in RNAcentral is "partial 16S ribosomal RNA". It matches the Rfam family "Bacterial small subunit ribosomal RNA", at positions 122 to 334 of the family's 1533-position model. The record is from RNAcentral.